This is a long non-coding RNA of Passer domesticus (house sparrow), 554 nucleotides long. RefSeq lists it as uncharacterized. NCBI's taxonomy places the organism in Eukaryota, Metazoa, Chordata, Aves, Passeriformes, Passeridae. The transcript is spliced from 2 exons. The record is from RefSeq and is a predicted model, not a curated record.
UGUGGGUUGUCCCCCUGGAGGGUGGCAGGAGGGGUGGCUUUGCCCUGGGGGUGCCUCUCGUGCCUGGGCGGUGCCUGGGAAGCACAUGGGCUUUACAAGGCCAGGUCUGCCACAGCCUGAGCUGCCCCUGUAGCAGGGCUGACACAGUGAGGACAGAGUGAAGAGAUGACAGACACAGAGAAGGAGCAGUGGCUGCACAGCAGCUGCAGCCAGGAGGUUGCAAAAUGGGCAUCAGAUGCCACAAGCACAACGAAGGUUUGGGACCAGCUGCUUUGGGCACCCCCUAAAGCUGUGCCAUGCUUGUCUCCUCAGUGCUCACCCCACAACGGCUCUUCUGCACAGCUAGAAGCUGUUAAAUCUCCAAAGUGCCAGACUCCAGAGGGGAUGGAGCAGUUGGAGCUGUUUGAUCUAGGCAGAAGAAAAGCUGAUUACCUGUGCUGGAGCCUGAUGGGGGUCAGAUCACCUGGAACAAGGAAACCUGCCAUGGGAUUUUUGGAAUUACAAGAUGUCAGGAACUGUGGUUUUCCCUGUCUUAUCAGGAAAUCUGAACUUUC